Molecule: ribosomal RNA, 512 nt
Filed under: uncultured bacterium
Lineage: Bacteria
Description: bacterial SSU rRNA
Rfam family: Bacterial small subunit ribosomal RNA
Source: RNAcentral
GAUCCUGGCUCAGGAUGAACGCUAGCGGCAGGCUUAACACAUGCAAGUCGAGGGGCAGCGGGAUGUAGCAAUACAGUUGCCGGCGACCGGCGGAUGGGUGCGUAACGCGUAUGCAACCUACCUUAUACAGGGGAAUAACCUUUCGAAAGGGAGACUAACACCCCAUAGUAUUGAUUUAAGGCAUCUUAGAUUAAUUAAAUAUUUAUAGGUAUAAGAUGGGCAUGCGUAUGAUUAGCUAGUUGGUAAGGUAACGGCUUACCAAGGCGACGAUCAUUAGGGGUUCUGAGAGGAAGGUCCCCCACACUGGUACUGAGACACGGACCAGACUCCUACGGGAGGCAGCAGUGAGGAAUAUUGGUCAAUGGGCGCAAGCCUGAACCAGCCAUGCCGCGUGCAGGAAAGACGGCCUUAUGGGUUGUAAACUGCUUUUACAUAAGACUAACCGUAUAUUUGCGAAUAUACCUGAAUGUAUUAUGAGAAUAAGGAUCGGCUAACUCCGUGCCAGCCGCAGC